AUCGAACGCUGGCUGCAUGCCUAACACAUGCAAGUCGCACGGCACGGCUUCGGCCGGUCAGUGGCGGACGGGUGAGGAACGCGUAGGGAUCUGUCCUCUGGUGGGGUAUAACCGCGGGAAACUUCGACUAAGACCGCAUGGGGCGCCGGUGUGAGAGCCGGUGUCAAAGGCGCGCAUCGCGAGGUGUGUGUUGCCGGGGUGUGAGCCUGCGUCCGCUUAGCUGGUUGGCGGGGCAGUGGCCCACCAAGGCGUCGAGCGGUAGUUGGUCUGAGAGGUCGUAGUGCAACACUGGGAGUGAGACACGGUGUAGAGUCCUUCGCGAAGGAGCGGUGCGGAAUAUUGGACUAUGGACGCAAGCAUGAUCGAGUCAUGCGGGGUGGGUGAAGUAGGUCUUAGGAUUGUAAAGCCCUUUGGGCGUACACGAUGGUGACGGUACCCGCAGAAUAAGCCCCGGCUAACUUCGUG
RNAcentral lists this ribosomal RNA (465 nucleotides) under uncultured bacterium. RNAcentral's name for it is "partial 16S ribosomal RNA". It matches the Rfam family "Bacterial small subunit ribosomal RNA", at positions 28 to 507 of the family's 1533-position model. The record is from RNAcentral.